UUACUGCGCAGGUGACGA
RNAcentral lists this unclassified non-coding RNA (18 nucleotides) under Cereibacter sphaeroides ATCC 17025. RNAcentral describes it as "RNA (5'-R(P*UP*UP*AP*CP*UP*GP*CP*GP*CP*AP*GP*GP*UP*GP*AP*CP*GP*A)-3') from Cereibacter sphaeroides ATCC 17025 (PDB 6D9L, chain H)". The record is from RNAcentral. Lineage: Bacteria; Pseudomonadati; Pseudomonadota; Alphaproteobacteria; Rhodobacterales; Paracoccaceae.